GCAGAGAGUAAUUGUGGGGCCAUGGACUGCCAAAGCAGUCUGGGCCCCCCAGGACCGCCGAGCCCAUGACAACAGUCAUGGUUGUCACCCCCUAAUGGCGGCCCUGUUGACAGUGGUGCCAUUAAUAAGCUGACAGAUUCAGGUCUUUUUGCGAAUGGAGAGCAACUGAGAGGUGGACCACGUUUAUCUGAAGUUUUCAGAAGCGUCCCUGUCUGAAAGCCUCCUAAUUCAAG
This is a non-coding RNA of Pelobates cultripes (western spadefoot toad), 233 nucleotides long. The record is from the annotation of a GenBank genome assembly. NCBI's taxonomy places the organism in Eukaryota, Metazoa, Chordata, Amphibia, Anura, Pelobatidae.